Molecule: ribosomal RNA, 504 nt
Filed under: uncultured bacterium
Lineage: Bacteria
Description: partial 16S ribosomal RNA
Rfam family: Bacterial small subunit ribosomal RNA
Source: RNAcentral
AUUGAACGCUGGCGGCAUGCCUUACACAUGCAAGUCGAACGGCAGCAUGGAGAGCUUGCUCUCUGAUGGCGAGUGGCGAACGGGUGAGUAAUGCAUCGGAACGUACCGUGUAAUGGGGGAUAACGUAGCGAAAGUUACGCUAAUACCGCAUACGACCUGAGGGUGAAAGCAGGGGAUCGCAAGACCUUGCGUUAUACGAGCGGCCGAUGUCAGAUUAGCUAGUUGGUGAGGUAAAGGCUCACCAAGGCGACGAUCUGUAGCGGGUCUGAGAGGAUGAUCCGGCCCACUGGGCAUGAGAAACGGCCCAGACUCCUACGGGAGGCAGCAGUGGGGAAUUUUGGACAAUGGGGGCAACCCUGAUCCAGACAGGCCGCGUGAGUGAAGAAGGCCUUCGGGUUGUAAAGCUCUUUCGGCCGGGAAGAAAUCGCACAGGCUAAUACUCUGUGUGGAUGACGGUACCGGCAUAAGAAGCACCGGCUAACUACGUGCCAGCCGCCGCCGUAA